GACGAACGCUGGCGGCGUGCUUAACACAUGCAAGUCGAACGGAAAGGCCCUGCUUUUGUGGGGUGCUCGAGUGGCGAACGGGUGAGUAACACGUGAGUAACCUGCCCUUGACUUUGGGAUAACUUCAGGAAACUGGGGCUAAUACCGGAUAGGAGCUCCUGCUGCAUGGUGGGGGUUGGAAAGUUUCGGCGGUUGGGGAUGGACUCGCGGCUUAUCAGCUUGUUGGUGGGGUAGUGGCUUACCAAGGCUUUGACGGGUAGCCGGCCUGAGAGGGUGACCGGCCACAUUGGGACUGAGAUGCGGCCCAGACUCCUACGGGAGGCAGCAGUGGGGAAUAUUGCACAAUGGGCGGAAGCCUGAUGCAGCAACGCCGCGUGCGGGAUGACGGCCUUCGGGUUGUAAACCGCUUUCGCCUGUGACGAAGCGUGAGUGACGGUAAUGGGUAAAGAAGCACCGGCUAACUACGUGCCAGCAGCCGCGGUGAUACGUAGGGUGCGAGCGUUGUCCGGAUUUAUUGGGCGUAAAGGGCUCGUAGGUGGUUGAUCGCGUCGGAAGUGUAAUCUUGGGGCUUAACCCUGAGCGUGCUUUCGAUACGGGUUGACUUGAGGAAGGUAGGGGAGAAUGGAAUUCCUGGUGGAGCGGUGGAAUGCGCAGAUAUCAGGAGGAACGCCAGUGGCGAAGGCGGUUCUCUGGGCCUUUCCUGACGCUGAGGAGCGAAAGCGUGGGGAGCGAACAGGCUUAGAUACCCUGGUAGUCCACGCUGUAAACGGUGGGUACUAGGUGUGGGGUCCAUUCCACGGGUUCCGUGCCGUAGCUAACGCUUUAAGUACCCCGCCUGGGGAGUACGGCCGCAAGGCUAAAACUCAAAGGAAUUGACGGGGCCCCGCACAAGCGGCGGAGCAUGCGGAUUAAUUCGAUGCAACGCGUAGAACCUUACCUGGGUUUGACAUGGAUCGGGAGUGCUCAGAGAUGGGUGUGCCUCUUUUGGGGUCGGUUCACAGGUGGUGCAUGGCUGUCGUCAGCUCGUGUCGUGAGAUGUUGGGUUAAGUCCCGCAACGAGCGCAACCCUUGUUCACUGUUGCCAGCACGUUAUGGUGGGGACUCAGUGGAGACCGCCGGGGUCAACUCGGAGGAAGGUGGGGAUGACGUCAAGUCAUCAUGCCCCUUAUGUCCAGGGCUUCACGCAUGCUACAAUGGCUGGUACAGAGAGUGGCGAGCCUGUGAGGGUGAGCGAAUCUCGGAAAGCCGGUCUCAGUUCGGAUUAGGGUCUGCAACUCGACCUCAUGAAGUCGGAGUCGCUAGUAAUCGCAGAUCAGCAACGCUGCGGUGAAUACGUUCCCGGG
Molecule: ribosomal RNA, 1343 nt
Filed under: uncultured bacterium
Lineage: Bacteria
Description: 16S ribosomal RNA
Rfam family: Bacterial small subunit ribosomal RNA
Source: RNAcentral